RNAcentral lists this ribosomal RNA (517 nucleotides) under uncultured fungus. RNAcentral describes it as "eukaryotic LSU rRNA". The stretch from base 166 to 319 matches the Rfam family "5.8S ribosomal RNA". Lineage: Eukaryota; Fungi. The record is from RNAcentral.
CAUUACNGAGAACUUGCCCUUCGGGGUAGAUCUCCCACCCAAUGUUUACAUUACUUUGUUGCUUUGGCAGGCCCGUCUUUGGACCACCGGCUUCGGCUGGUCAGUGCCUGCCAGAGGACCCCAAACUCUGAAUAUUUAUUGUCUGAGUAUUAUAUAAUAAGUUAAAACUUUCAACAACGGAUCUCUUGGUUCUGGCAUCGAUGAAGAACGCAGCGAAAUGCGAUAAGUAAUGUGAAUUGCAGAAUUCAGUGAAUCAUCGAAUCUUUGAACGCACAUUGCGCCCUCUGGUAUUCCGGGGGGCAUGCCUGUUCGAGCGUCAUUACAACCCUCAAGCUCUGCUUGGUAUUGGGUGUCACCUCCUGGUGCACCUCAAACACAGUGGCGGUGCCAUUCGGCUUCAAGCGUAGUAAUUUUAUCUCGCUCAGGAGUCCGGGUGUAACUUGCCAAAACCCCCAAUUUUUUAAAGGUUGACCUCGGAUCAGGUAGGGAUACCCGCUGAACUUAAGCAUAUCAAUAA